This 461-nucleotide long non-coding RNA is filed under the name Musa acuminata (dwarf banana). RNAcentral describes it as "long non-coding RNA (MACU_LNC011716)". The record is from RNAcentral. Lineage: Eukaryota; Viridiplantae; Streptophyta; Magnoliopsida; Zingiberales; Musaceae.
UGACUUGUGAUGUACACAGGAAAUUAACCCCCACCACAGGAAUCCCACACAAGGAGAUCGCCAUGGGAGGGAGGGGAAAGGUGAAGCCGAUCGAUGUCUUGUCGCACUUAGGAGGAGGAGGCGAAGAAGACGUUGUCGAUGAUGGUGGUGUGGAGUGGGUCGCUCAGGUGGGUGGCCCAGUUGUUGAGGGGGCCCUUGCCGGUGGCGGCGGCCUGGACGGCGAAGCCCAGGAAGGCGACCAUGGCGAGGCGGGCGUGCUUGAUCUCCGCCAACUGCAGGGUGGCCUUCUUCUCAGGGUCGGACGCCAGGCCGAGGGGGUCGAAGUACUUGCCUCCGGGGUACAGGCGCUUCUCCGGGUCGAGCUCCGCGUUCCUCUGGAACUCGAUGUAGCCGAUCACCAGCACCUCGAUCCAUAUCAGCGUGGUGAUGUUGAAGGGGAGGGGUUGGCCCAGGUAGGAGGA